CCUCUACAGUAGGAUCAGUGAUGUAGUGUAGUAGGAUGGUACCAGUACCUCUACAGUAGGAUCAGUGAUGUAGUGUAGUAGGAUGGUACCAGUACCUCUACAGUAGGA
Salvelinus sp. IW2-2015 is the source of this 108-nucleotide non-coding RNA. The record is from RefSeq and is a predicted model, not a curated record. NCBI's taxonomy places the organism in Eukaryota, Metazoa, Chordata, Actinopteri, Salmoniformes, Salmonidae.